CAAUAGCGUAUAUUAAAGUUGUUGCAGUUAAAAAGCUCGUAGUUGGAUUUGUGGUGGUUCCUGUGGUCCGAUUUCGGUACUCUCGGGGACUGCCAUCUUUGGGUGGAUCCUGUGUGGCAUUAGGUUGUCGUGCAGGGGAUGCCCAUCGUUUACUGUGAAAAAAUUAGAGUGUUCAAAGCAGGCUUAUGCCGUUGAAUAUAUUAGCAUGGAAUAAUGAGAUAGGACCUUGGUACUAUUUUGUUGGUUUGCGCACCGAGGUAAUGAUUAAUAGGGACAGUUGUGGGUAUUCGUAUUCCAUUGUCAGAGGUGAAAUUCUUGGAUUUCUGGAAGACGAACUAAUGCGAAAGCAUUUACCAAGGAUGUUUUCAUUA
This 371-nucleotide ribosomal RNA is filed under the name uncultured eukaryote. Its description in RNAcentral is "partial 18S ribosomal RNA". It matches the Rfam family "Eukaryotic small subunit ribosomal RNA", at positions 592 to 975 of the family's 1831-position model. The record is from RNAcentral.